This 1031-nucleotide ribosomal RNA is filed under the name Staphylococcus pasteuri. RNAcentral's name for it is "bacterial SSU rRNA". It matches the Rfam family "Bacterial small subunit ribosomal RNA", at positions 56 to 1067 of the family's 1533-position model. Lineage: Bacteria; Bacillati; Bacillota; Bacilli; Caryophanales; Staphylococcaceae. The record is from RNAcentral.
UGCAGUCGAGCGACAGAUAAGGAGCUUGCUCCUUUGACGUUAGCGGCGGACGGGUGAGUAACACGUGGAUAACCUACCUAUAAGACUGGGAUAACUUCGGGAAACCGGAGCUAAUACCGGAUAACAUAUUGAACCGCAUGGUUCAAUAGUGAAAGGCGGCUUUGCUGUCACUUAUAGAUGGAUCCGCGCCGUAUUAGCUAGUUGGUAAGGUAACGGCUUACCAAGGCAACGAUACGUAGCCGACCUGAGAGGGUGAUCGGCCACACUGGAACUGAGACACGGUCCAGACUCCUACGGGAGGCAGCAGUAGGGAAUCUUCCGCAAUGGGCGAAAGCCUGACGGAGCAACGCCGCGUGAGUGAUGAAGGUCUUCGGAUCGUAAAACUCUGUUAUCAGGGAAGAACAAAUGUGUAAGUAACUGUGCACAUCUUGACGGUACCUGAUCAGAAAGCCACGGCUAACUACGUGCCAGCAGCCGCGGUAAUACGUAGGUGGCAAGCGUUAUCCGGAAUUAUUGGGCGUAAAGCGCGCGUAGGCGGUUUUUUAAGUCUGAUGUGAAAGCCCACGGCUCAACCGUGGAGGGUCAUUGGAAACUGGAAAACUUGAGUGCAGAAGAGGAAAGUGGAAUUCCAUGUGUAGCGGUGAAAUGCGCAGAGAUAUGGAGGAACACCAGUGGCGAAGGCGACUUUCUGGUCUGUAACUGACGCUGAUGUGCGAAAGCGUGGGGAUCAAACAGGAUUAGAUACCCUGGUAGUCCACGCCGUAAACGAUGAGUGCUAAGUGUUAGGGGGUUUCCGCCCCUUAGUGCUGCAGCUAACGCAUUAAGCACUCCGCCUGGGGAGUACGACCGCAAGGUUGAAACUCAAAGGAAUUGACGGGGACCCGCACAAGCGGUGGAGCAUGUGGUUUAAUUCGAAGCAACGCGAAGAACCUUACCAAAUCUUGACAUCCUUUGACCGCUCUAGAGAUAGAGUCUUCCCCUUCGGGGGACAAAGUGACAGGUGGUGCAUGGGUUGUCGUCAGCUCGUGUCG